UCCCAGCUCGAUACCCAAACUCAGACUGGA
This 30-nucleotide non-coding RNA is filed under the name Rattus norvegicus (Norway rat). The record is from RNAcentral. Lineage: Eukaryota; Metazoa; Chordata; Mammalia; Rodentia; Muridae.